UACGGAGGGGGCGAGCGUUAUUCGGAAUUAUUGGGCGUAAAGGGCGCGUAGGCGGCUUGAUGUGUCAAAGGUGAAAUCCCUCGGCUCAACUGAGGAACUGCCUUUGAAACUGUCUGGCUUGAGGCCGGGAGAGGGUAGCGGAAUUCCGGGUGUAGCGGUGAAAUGCGUAGAUAUCCGGAGGAACACCGGUGGCGAAGGCGGCAUCCUGGACCAAUUCUGACGCUGAUGAGCGAAAGCCAGGGGAGCAAACGGG
RNAcentral lists this ribosomal RNA (253 nucleotides) under uncultured bacterium. RNAcentral describes it as "partial 16S ribosomal RNA". It matches the Rfam family "Bacterial small subunit ribosomal RNA", at positions 524 to 776 of the family's 1533-position model. The record is from RNAcentral.